Molecule: long non-coding RNA, 348 nt
Filed under: Gossypium barbadense (sea-island cotton)
Lineage: Eukaryota; Viridiplantae; Streptophyta; Magnoliopsida; Malvales; Malvaceae
Description: long non-coding RNA (GBAR_LNC002870)
Source: RNAcentral
GGUAAACGUUGUCCUAUUGAUCUGAAAUUUUACAUACAUGUUUUUGGCACUGUGAUUGAAUAUAAAAAAAUUAUUCCCGCAAAAAAAUCAGUCAAAAAAGUCAAAAAAAUCAAAAAAUACGAAAUUCAAUAAAAAUUUAAAAAAAGAUUCAGCGGGUUGAAUUUGGUGCCCAAAAUUUCCAGAUCGAAAAUUCAAUAUAUAAGGACACUCCAGAUUUAAUUUUGUGAUUUUUGGAGAUCGGGAACACCUCGAACGAAGUUGUCAAGUUACUCCGCAGUUUUUCGGGUUUUCUGUUUUCAGCAAUUUUUAUUGAUUCUUAGCUGUAGGUUUUCAUUUGUUUGCUUUUUA